RNAcentral lists this long non-coding RNA (364 nucleotides) under Fukomys damarensis (Damara mole-rat). RNAcentral describes it as "lncRNA (ENSFDAG00000024774.1)". Lineage: Eukaryota; Metazoa; Chordata; Mammalia; Rodentia; Bathyergidae. The record is from RNAcentral.
GCUUUACCAAUGAGCUAUGCACCCAUAGCGGGUGUCUCUUAUGCAAACUGCAGUUGGAAUUCUGUAGACAAUGAAGCGGAGUCCUCUCCACUUAGGCUGUAGAAAAUGCAGUUCAUUGUCUGUUUGGCAGGAGGCUCCAGAGGAACAGAGAAGCAUCUGUGAUAGUUCUACCUGUGGAAUGCGGACCUAUAUUAAUCAGGAAGAGCAGGAGGAGAAAGAGGGAGAGCAGCCACAGUGGUGCCAGACCUUCAGGAGGCAGCCAUGCGGGCUCAAGCUGGGGGAGGCACAUUCGCAGAGCCAGGGAGCCACAGCAACAGUGACAGCAGGGAAGGUUGUGGGGAGAGAAAGAAGCUAAAGAGAAGAG